Molecule: long non-coding RNA, 3263 nt
Organism: Dunckerocampus dactyliophorus (ringed pipefish)
Lineage: Eukaryota; Metazoa; Chordata; Actinopteri; Syngnathiformes; Syngnathidae
Exons: 4
Source: RefSeq, a predicted model, not a curated record
AAUUUCCCCAAUAAUUCAUUUUUCAUUUCUUAUGCAUUAAUUUGUUGCUAUAUUCACUUUUUUAUGGGUAGUCUUUAUUUUAUUUGCAUUUCUGUUUGUUGUGUGAACUUUGACAUCGCUGUGAUGUCAUUUCCUGUCAUUCUGGCGCGCUCCUCAGUCCUCUUCUGGACUGCCGAGGAUAGGAGACAUGUACGUGAAACGUAUUGAAGUUGAAGUGUCUUUUAUAUGUAGUGCACAGGAGAUAUAUGCAGCUGUGUGUCGCACAUAAGUAUCCACUCGAUGUCCUUCAUCUCCCACUCAAGUUUGACAAAGUCACCCAGAAACAUGGCUUGCACCUCGCGGCGGCGUAGAACACAAAUAGGGCAGACAAGAACAACGAGGCCCCUCCGAGACCCCCGAUGGUAACAUCAGUGAUUCCAUCUCCAUUCAGAUCCAUGACACCAUGUAUCGACUGACCAAAGAACUUCAUUUUGUCAUUCUCCCCUCCUGCUGGGAUGUGCUGAAGGGACAAUUUCGACAAUGAAAUGCGUGUUUGUCUCAACACUUCCAAUCAGUCGGCUGGUACUCACCUGCGCAAAUUUCUCCUUCAGUGACCUUUUGUCUCCGUGAUAGAUGUAGACUGCCCCCUUGUGGUCAUUCUCAAAGGGGGCGCCGAUGGCCACAUCAUUGAACCCGUCGAGGUUGAGAUCCGAUACGGCGGCGAUGGCAGUACCGAAGCGGGCCCCGCACGGCUCGUGUUUAUGAGUGCAGCUGGACGAGUGGGCAGUGCAGCACGACUGAUUGAUGGGCUUUAAAGUGAACUCGUACUCAAACUGGCCAUCCUGGUGGAGGAGAAAGGAGUGAGUAAGUACACUGGAGGAGAGAACAUACAGUCCCCUGUAGAUGCACACGCGAUUGUGAUUAUUAGUCACUUGUACCUGCUUAAGUUUGUAGACAUAAACUUGACCCUGCUCGUCUCUUUCUGAGCCCAUGUACAUUGGGGCACCAACCAAGAGGAGAUCGGUGUAAGAGUCGCCGUCUACAUCGAGAGUCUGUAAAACGCUGCCAAAGUACGACCCGAUCUGCACACAGGAAGAAUGAUUGUACAAAAUUUAGAACCCCAACAUAUCAAUAUGUAGUACAGUCGACCCUCGUUUAUCCUGGUUAAUUGGUUCCAGAGCCGACCGUGAUAAGUGAAUUUCCGCCACGUAGGUUUCAAUAUUGCAUAUUUCUGUAGUUAUGGCAUAGAAAACUUGUUUACGAUCUUCUAAAUAUGUUUUUUUUAACAUUAUUAAAGCCCUCUAUGCAUGAAAUAACACCCAUAUAGUCAUCUUUACAUUUGCAUUACCCAAUAUAGUAGAUAUAAUCCGAGAAACUAAGAGUAAGGCUAAGACUCACAAGUUAACAGUUCCUUGUUUUUUUUUCCGAACAGCGUACUUCUUGCAGUGGCUACUGUCUCACCACUGUACUGUAAUGGUGGCUUUAAAUGCCUUUACACUUGUAUUACCCAAUAUAGUAGACAUAAUAAGAGUAAAUAAGUCAUUUAAGAUGUAAAUACAACUCCUCCUUGUGUGUGACAGUAAAUGUGUGACCAUAAUGGCAGGUGGACAGAUGUGUAGAGGACAGGAAGUGAUGUCAAAGGUUCAGAGUUGAGUUUUACAAAUAUGGUAUAUUGCACAGUAGCAACAGAACCAAUGUUGUUAUACUGCUCAUGAGCAAACUGCUCAGCCAGUGUUAAUACUUGUGAUCAGGUGACGGCAGGAGUAACAUGCAGAAGUUCCACACCAACAAAACAGCUGAGGAGCUAAACAUUUUAUAGUGGGGGGAUCAAAAGCUGUAAUGUAGCAAGGAAAAAUGAAAUGUUAACCCUAAUAAGUAAUAACAACACAUGUUGUCACCUGUAACACAAAGCGGAUGUUAAAUCCAUGUAAAAGGUCUUUUUUAGCGUUUUUACAAAGUAAAAAAUAUCAAAAUGUACCUCGCGUCCUUCGAUUUUUCCAUAUGCGGCGCUCGCUGGAAAAAGCUUGGACGCCUCUGACUUCAGUUAUUAGCUUUGACAGUGCUUGCCCAGCUUAAGCAUAAUAGUUGCAUUGGUGGUAAAUCAACAAGCUACAGUGUUUACAUUAGAAAGAACAAGCCCACUGUACAGUGAACAUACUCACUUGUUCUCCUCCCAGUGUCUGCGAGACAACAAUGUCUUUGUCCUUCAGCCGAUAGAUAACAACACGACCCGUGUGGUUGUAACGUGGCGCUCCCGUGAUGUACAGCACGCCAUCAGGGGUAGACGCUGACUGGACAUCAUAACCUACGCAAACAGGCAUACACAUCUCCUGUCAUGGGGAAAGCAUUGACAGGAUCUCUUUCUGAAGGCUCCUUCUGCCAAAUGUUUACGUCUCACUUUGAAAAGAGGAAGCGAUAAAACACAACUGGAAACUGGCAGGACAAUGCGUGACAACUGACAGAAAGAACACAAAGGAAGGCACACGCUGCAGACAAAGCCAUUUAGGUGAGAGCGUGUGCCAACAGCUGAGUUUACAGUAGACCAGCCCAUAGCCGGCGUGUGCUCUUCAUAACGACAGCUUGAUUAAAUAAGUCGAUAUUAAGAUGCUUGGGUUGCUUUACAGGCCAUAAAAGGCAUCGAGACGGGGAGAAAAGAUGUUGUAUAUUAUUUAUGUGCACGGCGAAAAGAGCAAGACAUCUGCAGUCGACAUAGAUCAAACUGAAAGAGGCAAAUUCUGUAUUUAUUCUGCAUCCCGUUCAAGCUAAACACGUUCUUCAGACGCGUAUAUUUUGCUGUCAAUUUGUGUCCUUUCAACUCACCUAGAUAACCAGCCAGUCUUUCGUAUCCAGCUUCAGUUUGGCCGUCAAAGAAGUGGUUUUUCUCGGGAUAGAUUGUUCCCCCUUCGGUGUGCAUAAUGACAGUUCCAUUCCAGUCAUAUGCUCCCACAGCUCCCAGUAGCAUGCCUUCCUGUGACAAAACAAGAUUAUAAGCCACAAAGAAGUACAUAUCAUUACUAGAAUGUAUUAUUAUUAUAAUUAUAUAUUAUUACAAGAUUGGGCCCACAAGAACGAGACGAGUUUUAACAUGAAGAAAAUUACAAUGAAAAAAUAAAACUGGUCUAUUGUCAACAUUUUUUGAGACCAAAUAAACCACUGUUAUGAUAAUACAUAAUAAUAGUAAUAAAUAAUAAUAAUAAUAAUACAGCUCACUGUUUUUCUCUCGCUUGUCUUUGGCUGUAUUUACAUCAGGGCUACCCAGCUGUCCUUUUAGUUGGGAACUGAUA